CCUACGGGAGGCAGCAGUGGGGAAUAUUGCACAAUGGGGGAAACCCUGAUGCAGCGACGCCGCGUGAGCGAUGAAGUCUUUCGGUAUGUAAAGCUCUAUCAGCAGGGAAGAAAAUGUCGGUACCUGACUAAGAAGCCCCGGCGAACUACGUGCCAGCAGCCGCGGUAAUACGUAGGGGGCAAGCGUUCUCCGGAUUUACUGGGUGUAAAGGGAGCGUAGACGGGCCUGCAAGCCAGAUGUGAAAGCCCGGGGCGCAACCCCGGGACUGCAUUUGGAACUGUAAGGCUAGAGUGGCGGAGAGGCAGGCGGAAGUCCUAGUGUAGCGGUGAAAUGCGUAGAGAUUAGGAGGAACACCAGUGGCGAAGGCGGCCUGCUGGACGAUGACUGACGUUGAGGCUCGAAAGCGUGGGGAGCAAACAGGAUUAGAUACCCUUGUAGUC
Molecule: ribosomal RNA, 440 nt
Filed under: uncultured bacterium
Lineage: Bacteria
Description: partial 16S ribosomal RNA
Rfam family: Bacterial small subunit ribosomal RNA
Source: RNAcentral